CAGGUGGUAACACGGAGAGCAAGUGGAAGAAACCUUGGGAGACUUCCAUGACUCAGGAACAAUCACACCUCACUGGGAGACUUGUGACUGACAGGUGGUUCAGGUGAUGUCACAGAGAGCAAGUAGAAGAAAACCUGGGAGACUUGCUUAACUCAAGAGCAAGAGCCGCACCUCACCGGGGAUCUGCAAUGUGUGGCAGCGACUGCAGGAAUCAACACUUCGGUUUGUCAGCACACAGUUACAGCGACCUUGUUCAUCAGACUGUUGGUGAAAGACUCCACAGACCGACUGGGAGACAUGACGUCAGUGCCACCAAGCAGGGAGUAAAACCAAGAGGAGGAAGAGGAGCAUUCAAGAGACAUCAGCUGGCCAGCAGUCCAUUCAGUUUCACAACAGGAAGUGAAGGAUGAAGCAUGAAGGUUUUAGGCCAAAAUGAACGGACAGCAAUCGGGAAUGACACGUCCAGCAAAACCAGCAACACAGCAGUGAGUGUGCAUGCUGGUACGUCAGGUCAGGGGUGAAGUGUUUGGAUUGUGGGCUAAAAUGGCUUGCUUAUACAUGAAUAUCUUUCACACUGGAGGAGCUGGGGUGUGCGUGUGUGUUAGGGGUUUUUGGGUGUUGAUAGGCUUGUUUGUAGGUAUUUCCACCUGCUUAUCAUCCGUUU
Long non-coding RNA from Scylla paramamosain (green mud crab), 664 nucleotides. RefSeq lists it as uncharacterized. Lineage: Eukaryota; Metazoa; Arthropoda; Malacostraca; Decapoda; Portunidae. The transcript has 4 exons. The record is from RefSeq and is a predicted model, not a curated record.